RNAcentral lists this ribosomal RNA (468 nucleotides) under uncultured bacterium. Its description in RNAcentral is "partial 16S ribosomal RNA". It matches the Rfam family "Bacterial small subunit ribosomal RNA", at positions 28 to 507 of the family's 1533-position model. The record is from RNAcentral.
GACGAACGCUGGCGGCGUGCUUAACACAUGCAAGUCGAACGGAAAGGCCCUGCUUUUGUGGGGCGCUCGAGUGGCGAAAGGGUGAGUAACACGUGAGUAACCUGCCCUUGACUUUGGGAUAACUUCAGGAAACUGGGGCUAAUACCGGAUAGGAGCUCCUGCUGCAUGGUGGGGGUUGGAAAGUUUCGGCGGUUGGGGAUGGACUCGCGGCUUAUCAGCUUGUUGGUGGGGUAGUGGCUUACCAAGGCUUUGACGGGUAGCCGGCCUGAGAGGGUGACCGGCCACAUUGGGACUGAGAUACGGCCCAGACUCCUCCGGGAGGCAGCAGUGGGGAAUAUUGCACAAUGGGCGGAAGCCUGAUGCAGCAACGCCGCGUGCGGGAUGACGGCCUUCGGGUUGUAAACCGCUUUCGCCUGUGACGAAGCGUGAGUGACGGUAAUGUGUAAAGAAGCACCGGCUAACUACGUG